This 460-nucleotide ribosomal RNA is filed under the name uncultured bacterium. RNAcentral's name for it is "partial 16S ribosomal RNA". It matches the Rfam family "Bacterial small subunit ribosomal RNA", at positions 338 to 795 of the family's 1533-position model. The record is from RNAcentral.
CCUACGGGUGGCAGCAGUGAGGAAUAUUGGUCAAUGGACGAGAGUCUGAACCAGCCAAGUAGCGUGAAGGAUGACUGCCCUAUGGGUUGUAAACUUCUUUUAUAUGGGAAUAAAACGUUGCACGUGUGGCUUUUUGUAUGUACCAUAUGAAUACGGCUCGGCUAACUCCGUGCCAGCAGCCGCGGUAAUACGGAGGAUCCGAGCGGUAGCCGGAUUUAUUGUGUUUAAAGGGAGCGUAGGUGGGUUGUUAAGUCAGUUGGUGAAGUUUGCGGCUCAACCGUAAGAUUGCAGUUGAUACUGGCAGACUUGAGUACAGGAGAGGUGGGCGGAAUGCGUGGUGUAGCGGUGAAAUGCUUAGAUAUCACGAAGAACUCCGAUGGCGAAGGCAGCUCACUGGACUGUAACUGACACUGAGGCUCGAAAGUGUGGGUAUCAAACAGGAUUAGAUACCCGAGUAGUC